UCUCCGUAGGUGAACCUGCGGAGGGAUCAUUACCGAGUGAGGGCGCCCCGGCGCCCGACCUCCCAACCCUUUGUGAACCAAACUUGUUGCUUCGGGGGCGACCCUGCCGUUCGCGGCGUGGGGCCCCCGGAGCCCAUCAAACCCUGCGUAACCAAGUCGUCGGAGUUUAAACAAAUUAAACAAAACCUUCAACAACGGAUCUCUUGGUUCGGGCAUCGAUGAAGAACGCAGC
This 232-nucleotide unclassified non-coding RNA is filed under the name uncultured fungus. RNAcentral's name for it is "sequence contains ITS1, 5.8S rRNA gene". The stretch from base 184 to 232 matches the Rfam family "5.8S ribosomal RNA", at positions 1 to 49 of the family's 154-position model. Lineage: Eukaryota; Fungi. The record is from RNAcentral.